RNAcentral lists this long non-coding RNA (586 nucleotides) under Helianthus annuus (common sunflower). Lineage: Eukaryota; Viridiplantae; Streptophyta; Magnoliopsida; Asterales; Asteraceae. The record is from RNAcentral.
UUAUUUCAGGGGUCAUGACUACAUGUAUUUGGUGAGAAUAAUGAAUAUGAAACGAUGACAUGUAUGAUGGCGAGUACUUUGUAGACAAAAUGCAUUGGGUGAAACUGAAACGGGUCAAACUGGUUGAAGGUUGUCAGUCCAACAUUUUAAAACUAAAGGUGGCAUUGCAUUGAACAACAACUUUGAGAGAAUGAGGUUACAUGUAUGCUUUCUAACUAUCCAUCCAUCAUCAGACCUUCAAAUCGCUCCACCGAUCUUUGUUUUAGUCUGACAUGAUGGUUUUUGUUGCUGUAUUUGAAUUAACCAUGUGGUCGACUUGAUUCGCCACAUGGUAAAGUUUUGAAGCUGUUAUAGCACGAGUUAGCAGGCUUGUCACGAGCACAGUUUUGCCUACCACGUUGUGAUUAUUUACAUGUAAAUGUUGGUUAUGAGAAGGUGCUGAAACGAAGGAGCCAACAACUAUGGAAGAGAAGCAACAUAAACAGCCUAUGGUCAAUAUACAAAGACGUCAAACUAAUGACAGCAGCGGAAAGAUUAUCAUUUUUAACAUACAUGUGUGAAUUUAUUCACGAAUAAUCCAAGAUAC